GACAGAGGAUGCAAGCGUUAUCCGGAAUGAUUGGGCGUAAGCGUCUGUAGGUGGCUUUUUAAGUCUGCCGUCAAAUCCCAGGGCUUAACCCUGGACAGGCGGUGGAAACUACCAAGCUGGAGUACGGUAGGGGCAGGGGGAAUUUCCGGUGGAGCGGUGAAAUGCGUAGAGAUCGGAAAGAACACCAACGGCGAAAGCACUCUGCUGGGCCGACACUGACACUGAGAGACGAAAGCUAGGGGAGCGAAUGGG
This 252-nucleotide ribosomal RNA is filed under the name uncultured bacterium. RNAcentral describes it as "partial 16S ribosomal RNA". It matches the Rfam family "Bacterial small subunit ribosomal RNA", at positions 524 to 776 of the family's 1533-position model. The record is from RNAcentral.